CCCUGACAGACUCAUUGGGAGUCUGACACUAGCCAAGACAGGAGAUCUAAAUG
Molecule: non-coding RNA, 53 nt
Filed under: unclassified sequences
Description: Mu-gpT-DE RNA
Rfam family: Mu-gpT-DE RNA
Source: Rfam by way of RNAcentral